RNAcentral lists this ribosomal RNA (497 nucleotides) under uncultured bacterium. RNAcentral describes it as "partial 16S ribosomal RNA". It matches the Rfam family "Bacterial small subunit ribosomal RNA", at positions 28 to 507 of the family's 1533-position model. The record is from RNAcentral.
GAUGAACGCUGGCGGCGUGCCUAAUACAUGCAAGUCGAGCGAACGGACGAGAAGCUUGCUCCUCUGAUGUUAGCGGCGGACGGGUGAGUAACACGUGGAUAACCUACCUAUAAGACUGGGAUAACUUCGGGAAACCGUAGCUAAUACCGGAUAAUAUUUUGAACCGCAUGGUUCAAUAGUGAAAGACGGUCUUGCUGUCACUUAUAGAUGGAUCCGCGCUGCAUUAGCUAGUUGGUAAGGUAACGGCUUACCAAGGCAACGAUGCAUAGCCGACCUGAGAGGGUGAUCGGCCACACUGGAACUGAGACACGGUCCAGACUCCUACGGGAGGCAGCAGUAGGGAAUCUUCCGCAAAGGGCGAAAGCCUGACGGAGCAACGCCGCGUGAGUGAUGAAGGUCUUCGGAUCGUAAAACUCUGUUAUUAGGGAAGAACAUAUGUGUAAGUAACUGUGCACAUCUUGACGGUACCUAAUCAGAAAGCCACGGCUAACUACGUG